CCUACGGGAGGCUGCAGUGAGGAAUAUUGGUCAAUGGACGAGAGUCUGAACCAGCCAAGUAGCUUGAAGGUUGACUGCCCUAUGGGUUGUAAACUUCUUUUAUAUGGGAAUAAAAUGUUCCACGUGUGGGAUUUUGUAUGUCCCAUAUGAAUAAGGAUCGGCUAACUCCGUGCCAGCAGCCGCGGUAAUACGGAGGAUCCGAGCGUUAUCCGGAUUUAUUGGGUUUAAAGGGAGCGUAGGUGGAUUGUUAAGUCAGUUGUGAAAGUUUGCGGCUCAACCGUAAAAUUGCAGUUGAAACUGGCAGUCUUGAGUACAGUAGAGGUGGGCGGAAUUCGUGGUGUAGCGGUGAAAUGCUUAGAUAUCACGAAGAACUCCGAUUGCGAAGGCAGUUCACUGGACUGCAACUGACACUGAGGCUCGAAAGUGUGGGUAUCAAACAGGAUUAGAUACCCUUGUAGUC
This 460-nucleotide ribosomal RNA is filed under the name uncultured bacterium. Its description in RNAcentral is "partial 16S ribosomal RNA". It matches the Rfam family "Bacterial small subunit ribosomal RNA", at positions 338 to 795 of the family's 1533-position model. The record is from RNAcentral.